UAACGCAUAAGUUAACGGUGAUA
Molecule: non-coding RNA, 23 nt
Filed under: Arabidopsis thaliana (thale cress)
Lineage: Eukaryota; Viridiplantae; Streptophyta; Magnoliopsida; Brassicales; Brassicaceae
Source: RNAcentral